This is a non-coding RNA of Lingula anatina, 75 nucleotides long. The record is from Rfam. Lineage: Eukaryota; Metazoa; Brachiopoda; Lingulata; Lingulida; Lingulidae.
UGCCAAUGAUGUGUCCAUAUUUGCUACUCUUGACUGCUUGUAUGACGAAUAAAAUCACCACAAAAGACUGAGGCA